CGGAAAAUUUUUUUGACUAUGCUUAUGUUCGGGACCAUUAAUUAUUUAUGACCGGGGAUGGGCUGGCAAAAAAAGUGGGGUGGGUUAUGAGAUAUUUUUUACCAAAAAGGGGGGGGGGCACGUAAAGAUAUUAGUUCAGAAGCGGAGGUCCAGUUAUUUUAUUAUAUAUAGUGGGGGGAAAUUUGACAUGUAACGAUUAUUGCUACAGCAGAGAGCGAGCAAGGCAGCAAAUUUAAUUCAUGUACCUAGCAAAAUUCUCAAUUUUAAUCAACACUGAUAGAUCGAAAAUGCAAUGCGCAAAUACCCAAAAUGCAAUGCGUGCUGCUAAUAUGAAAAACAAUGGAACAUCUACCUUAUAACUUUUGCCAUGAACUUGCCA
Paramuricea clavata is the source of this 379-nucleotide non-coding RNA. The record is from the annotation of a GenBank genome assembly. NCBI's taxonomy places the organism in Eukaryota, Metazoa, Cnidaria, Anthozoa, Malacalcyonacea, Plexauridae.